Molecule: long non-coding RNA, 355 nt
Filed under: Sinocyclocheilus grahami
Lineage: Eukaryota; Metazoa; Chordata; Actinopteri; Cypriniformes; Cyprinidae
Description: lncRNA (ENSSGRG00000010709.1)
Source: RNAcentral
ACUGUUUAUCAAUCAUCUGUGUACACACGGCAGCCAACACCUCAUUCUCUGUCUGCUUGUGUCUUUCACAGUCCUCAGUGGUACAGUCCUCCUAAACCGGACUCAAGUUCAGAUACAUUCAAUCACUUUCAGCAUCCUGUGGAUUUUGUUGUUGAUGCGCCACCAGACGUUUUGGUUUCCUUGGCUGAAGAUGUCAUUCCAAUUGAUACUAAGAGUGAUUGGAAGACAGACAUGGACAGAACCAGCACUGACUACACCUACAGCCGGAAAACCCUGAUUGAAGAUUUUAAGAGGUACAGCAUCAUUUCUUUCUUUCUUUCUAUUUUAUUUUAAAGCAGAUGUGUCCGAACCUGUU